Molecule: transfer RNA, 82 nt
Filed under: Microbacterium caowuchunii
Lineage: Bacteria; Bacillati; Actinomycetota; Actinomycetes; Micrococcales; Microbacteriaceae
Also listed under: 11 other names
Rfam family: tRNA
About the family: Transfer RNA (tRNA) molecules are approximately 80 nucleotides in length. Their secondary structure includes four short double-helical elements and three loops (D, anti-codon, and T loops).
Source: Rfam by way of RNAcentral
GCGGGAGUGGUGGAAUUGGCAGACACGCAGGAUUUAGGUUCCUGUGCCUUCGGGCGUGUGGGUUCAAGUCCCACCUUCCGCA